RNAcentral lists this ribosomal RNA (330 nucleotides) under uncultured bacterium. RNAcentral describes it as "bacterial SSU rRNA". It matches the Rfam family "Bacterial small subunit ribosomal RNA", at positions 568 to 898 of the family's 1533-position model. The record is from RNAcentral.
CACGCAGGCGGUCUGUUAAGUUCACGGUGACAGUCAUCAGCUUAACUGGUGAAGUGUCUUGAAACUGACGGACUUGAGGGCCAGAGAGGGACCUGGAAUUCCGGGUGAAGCAGUGAAAUGCGUAGAUAUCCGGAGGAACACCAAAGGCGAAGGCAGGGUCCUGGCUGGUGCCUGACGCUCAGGUGCGAAAGCUAGGGGAGCAAACGGGAUUAGAUACCCCGGUAGUCCUAGCUGUAAACGAUGACCACUAGAUGCGCGGGGUUCGACCCCCUGCGUGCCGUACGUUAACACAAUAAGUGGUCCGCCUGGGAGGUACGUCGCAAGACUAAA